This 468-nucleotide ribosomal RNA is filed under the name uncultured bacterium. RNAcentral's name for it is "partial 16S ribosomal RNA". It matches the Rfam family "Bacterial small subunit ribosomal RNA", at positions 28 to 507 of the family's 1533-position model. The record is from RNAcentral.
GACGAACGCUGGCGGCGUGCUUAACACAUGCAAGUCGAACGGAAAGGCCCUGCUUUUGUGGGGUGCUCGAGUGGCGAACGGGUGAGUAACACGUGAGUAACCUGCCCUUGACUUUGGGAUAACUUCAGGAAACUGGGGCUAAUACCGGAUAGGAGCUCCUGCUGCAUGGUGGGGGUUGGAAAGUUUCGGCGGUUGGGGAUGGACUCGCGGCUUAUCAGCUUGUUGGUGGGGUAGUGGCUUACCAAGGCUUUGACGGGUAGCCGGCCUGAGAGGGUGACCGGCCACAUUGGGACUGAGAUACGGCCCAGACUGCUACGGGAGGCAGAAGUGGGGAAUAGUGCAAAAUGGGCGGAAGGCUGAUGCAGCAACGCAGCGUGCGGGAUGACGGCCGUCGGGUUGUAAACCGCUUUCGCCUGUGACGAAGCGUGAGUGACGGUAAUGGGUAAAGAAGCACCGGCUAACUACGUG